CCACACUACCCACGCCGCCUGCCUAACGCCCUAGAGCGCCGCCACCUGACCCGUCCUAUCAUCUUCCCCACGCAACGGACGACCAGAGGAGGUAGAGCCGACGUCUCCCUCAUUCACCUACAGCGACGACGAGCUGCGACGACACCAUCUCGCCGUACACGCUCCUGAUCUGGACGGCACCGCCGACCCCGUGGCCCUCCUCCCCUGGUUAUCGGAUCCAGCCGAGAUUCGUCAUGUCUGUUCAUCACCUUCUCGCGCCUCCCACACCGGCCUCCAUGGUUGUCCUCCUCUGCACUCAAACUCUGUCUAUAAGCUUCAUGUGCAUCAGCGGGUUUGAGCCGACGAUCUGGAUCGAGUAGGUCGCAGGAGCUUGCCGGCAACACCCGAUCUUUGUUCUUGUUUGAAGUUCGUCUGAGACGUUCUGGUGUAUCAAAUCCCUAUGAACAUCAAUACAUUGAGGUUGAAGCGCUGCCAAGAUAGUUGGCAUUCACGCUGGGGAGGAAUCAGAUCAGCUCAAUCAUCUCCAAUUAGUCUUCUUUCUUGCUAUCCAGGUCUUAAAUGAGCAGACAGUCUUUAAACAAAGGAUGGAUGGGAGUACACGGUUUGGACUCCGCUGCAGAAUAAAACAAUUUUGUGAUACAUAGUUUACAAUUUUCGGAACUUAACACAGGAAGGUUCCAGUUGCGCUUCCAAUAUACAAUUCUGAUUAGUAUUUUCUCAUGUUACUUCAUCAUCCCCUUUUGUUCUUAGACUUGGAGCGUUUAUUCCCACAGGCUGUAUAUACUGCUAUUGUGAACGUACCUAUUUUGUGAAAUUUUGGUUAAAUUUGGAA
This is a non-coding RNA of Aegilops tauschii subsp. strangulata, 832 nucleotides long. The record is from RefSeq and is a predicted model, not a curated record. NCBI's taxonomy places the organism in Eukaryota, Viridiplantae, Streptophyta, Magnoliopsida, Poales, Poaceae.